GGUCCUAUCGAGACUUUGGUCCAAUCGGGACUUCAGAUUUUUGUGAAGUCCAAUCCGAAAAUUGGAUAUCUUACUUGAUCUUGAUCCUUUUGGAACUUUGGUCCAAUCAAAACUUUAGAUUUUUGUGAGGUCCAAUCUGGAGAUCGGAUAUCUCACUUGAUCUUGAUCCUUCGGGGACUUAUCUCAAUCCAAAGAUUAGUAUUUUGGUCCUCAAGGAGACUUGGCCAUUGGGGCUUUAAAUCGAUCUAGAGAUUAGAUUUUUGAUCCUAUUGGGACUUAUCUCGAUUCAAAGAUCGAAUUUUUGAUCCUUCGAGACUUGUCUCGACUUGGAGAUUAGAUUUGUGAUCCUAUUGGGACUUAUCUCAAUUUGAAGAUCGAAUUUUGGUCCUUUGGGACUUAUCUCGAUCGGGAGAUUGAAUUUUUGAUCCUUUGAGAUUUAUCUCGAUUCAAAGAUCAAAUUUUUAUUGAUCAAGAGUUCUUAUCUCUAUCUUAGCGCUUUAGGGCUUAAGCUUGAUUUGAAGAUCGAUUUUUCAUCAAUCAGGAGAUCUUAUCUCUAUCCUGACCCUUCGAGCCUUAAGCUCGAUCUAGAGAUCAACUUUUCAUCAAUCAGAAGAUCUUAUCUCCAUCUUGACCCUUCGGAGCUUAAGCUCAAUCCAAAAAUUGACUUUUUAUCAAUCAGAAGAUCUUAUCUCUAUCCUGACCCUUCGGGGCUUAAGCUCGAUCCGAAGGUCGAUUUUUUAUCGAUCAGAAGAUCUUAUCUCCAUCCUGACUCUUUAGAGCUUAAGCUUGAUUUGGAGAUCAAUUUUUUAUCGAUCAAAAAAUUUUAUCUCCAUCC
RNAcentral lists this long non-coding RNA (835 nucleotides) under Elaeis guineensis (African oil palm). Its description in RNAcentral is "long non-coding RNA (EGUI_LNC048245)". The record is from RNAcentral. Lineage: Eukaryota; Viridiplantae; Streptophyta; Magnoliopsida; Arecales; Arecaceae.